GACGGAGGAUGCAAGCGUUAUCCGGAAUGAUUGGGCGUAAAGCGUCCGCAGGUGGCAGUUCAAGUCUGCUGUCAAAGACCGGGGCUUAACUUCGGAAAGGCAGUGGAAACUGAACAGCUAGAGUAUGGUAGGGGCAGAGGGAAUUCCUGGUGUAGCGGUGAAAUGCGCAGAUAUCAGGAAGAACACCCGUGGCUAAGGCGGCUCUCUAGUACGGUACUGACGCUGAGACGCGAAAGCGUGGGGAGCGAACAGG
Molecule: ribosomal RNA, 253 nt
Filed under: uncultured bacterium
Lineage: Bacteria
Description: partial 16S ribosomal RNA
Rfam family: Bacterial small subunit ribosomal RNA
Source: RNAcentral